AUCUUCGGGGCGAGGUGCAAUUCCUCACUGGCGGUAAAUCAGAAAAAACUGAUGAGUCCGCGACCUGCCGACGGCAGCUGAACCGGUGCAAACCCGGUACCAACAGUAAAGUCUGGAUGAAAGAAGAU
This 128-nucleotide non-coding RNA is filed under the name bovine gut metagenome. RNAcentral describes it as "FMN riboswitch (RFN element)". It matches the Rfam family "FMN riboswitch aptamer (RFN element)". From Rfam's summary of the family: The RFN element is a highly conserved domain that is found frequently in the 5'-untranslated regions of prokaryotic mRNAs that encode for flavin mononucleotide (FMN) biosynthesis and transport proteins. The record is from RNAcentral.